Molecule: ribosomal RNA, 465 nt
Filed under: Vreelandella stevensii
Lineage: Bacteria; Pseudomonadati; Pseudomonadota; Gammaproteobacteria; Oceanospirillales; Halomonadaceae
Description: partial 16S ribosomal RNA
Rfam family: Bacterial small subunit ribosomal RNA
Source: RNAcentral
CCUACGGGCGGCAGCAGUGGGGAAUAUUGGACAAUGGGCGAAAGCCUGAUCCAGCCAUGCCGCGUGUGUGAAGAAGGCCUUCGGGUUGUAAAGCACUUUCAGUGGGGAAGAAAGCCUUGGGGCUAAUACCCUCGAGGAAGGACAUCACCCACAGAAGAAGCACCGGCUAACUCCGUGCCAGCAGCCGCGGUAAUACGGAGGGUGCGAGCGUUAAUCGGAAUUACUGGGCGUAAAGCGCGCGUAGGCGGUCUGAUAAGCCGGUUGUGAAAGCCCCGGGCUCAACCUGGGAACGGCAUCCGGAACUGGCAGGCUAGAGUGCAGGAGAGGAAGGUAGAAUUCCCGGUGUAGCAGUGAAAUGCGUAGAGAUCGGGAGGAAUACCAGUGGCGAAGGCGGCCUUCUGGACUGACACUGACGCUGAGGUGCGAAAGCGUGGGUAGCAAACAGGAUUAGAUACCCCAGUAGUC